UCCCUUGUGGCUCAGUUGGUAGAGCAUGGUGUUUGCAAUGCCAGGGUUGUGGGUUCGAUUCCCACGGGGGAC
Molecule: transfer RNA, 72 nt
Filed under: Salmo salar (Atlantic salmon)
Lineage: Eukaryota; Metazoa; Chordata; Actinopteri; Salmoniformes; Salmonidae
Also listed under: 1 other name
Rfam family: tRNA
About the family: Transfer RNA (tRNA) molecules are approximately 80 nucleotides in length. Their secondary structure includes four short double-helical elements and three loops (D, anti-codon, and T loops).
Source: Rfam by way of RNAcentral